GACGAACGCUGGCGGCGUGCUUAACACAUGCAAGUCGAACGGAAAGGCCCUGCUUUUGUGGGGUGCUCGAGUGGCGAACGGGUGAGUAACACGUGAGUAACCUGCCCUUGACUUUGGGAUAACUUCAGGAAACUGGGGCUAAUACCGGAUAGGAGCUCCUGCUGCAUGGUGGGGGUUGGAAAGUUUCGGCGGUUGGGGAUGGACUCGCGGCUUAUCAGCUUGUUGGUGGGGUAGUGGCUUACCAAGGGUUUGACGGGUAGCCGGCCUGAGAGGGUGACCGGCCACAUGGGUACUGAGAUACGGACCAGACUCCUACGGGAGGCAGCAGUGGGGAAUAUUGCACAAUGGGCGGAAGCCUGAUGCAGCAACGCCGCGUGCGGGAUGACGGCCUUCGGGUUGUAAACCGCUUUCGCCUGUGACGAAGCGUGAGUGACGGUAAUGGGUAAAGAAGCACCGGCUAACUACGUG
This 468-nucleotide ribosomal RNA is filed under the name uncultured bacterium. RNAcentral's name for it is "partial 16S ribosomal RNA". It matches the Rfam family "Bacterial small subunit ribosomal RNA", at positions 28 to 507 of the family's 1533-position model. The record is from RNAcentral.